CAAGUUGGAAUUGUCAGUCGUCUGGCUUCUCAGACUUUCCAUUACAUCGCAUUGUUUUCAAUUCUCUUCUAAGAAAAACUUAACAGCAAUUUGUACAAAUAUUUAUUUUCUAUAAAAUUGUAAAUUUAAAAAUUAUUAAUUAAUUAAGUUUUUUCAAAGAAUUUUCUAGUCUCUAGAAGUUGUGUAUUAAGUGUUGUAAAAAUUUGUGAAAACAUGGAUCUCUUCAACAGUAUAUAUUUAAUUGUUUUAUGAAUAAUUUACCAGUAAAUGACAAAAAUGUUGAUUACUAAGAAAUACAUCAUCUUAAAUUAUUUUAUUAUAAAUAGUAUUAUUUAUCAAAUUACGGCGAACACAAAAUCUUUCAAUGAAUUGGAUGAUGAUAUAGUUCCGGAUGAAUUUUUUAAUGAAAAUUCAUAUAAAAAUGGUGCAGACCUGAUGAUAGUUAAAACUAAACCAAAAGAAAUUCUGUCAAAAACAACAGAUAUUAUUGAUACAACAACGAAACAAGAUAGUACUGAAACUACAGAUAAUCCUUAUACUACUGAUGAUUCGUCAACUCCUACUUCAACUGAUAAACCUGUAGAAGAAUCGGUAGUGACUAAUUAUACAUUAUGUGAAGAAAUGCAGUAUGAAGACAUAAAAGAAGAGAUAUCUAGUUAUGAAAACAAACUGGGUGUAAAGUCUACCUUGACAUCAAUGAAUACAAGCCCUGAUACAAAUUUCACGGUCGGUGAUGUUGUGAUAAAAUCUUCUAAUGAAUCAUCGCUAGUAGUGGCUUGGGAACCUAAAGAAGGAUAUGAAGUUCAGUGGUAUAUUAUUGAAUGGUACAACGCCAAAGAAAACAAGCUUGUGGCAGCUUGCCGCACCGAUAAUGAAACAUUUAACUAUACAAUAACUCAUUUAUUUGCUUGCACAACAUAUGAAGUUCGAGUGUUUCCAGCUACUAAUACCACUCGUGGACAUCAUAAACUUGUAAUAGAUAGUACAGCUUUAAUAGUUGAUAAGGAUUCUUUGAAGUUAACAAGUGGUCCUGAUUGGAUAAAAGUUUCCUGGGCUUUACCAAACAAUGAUUGUAUUAGCAAAAAUAAUUUAACUUACUGUAAUUUUAAUGGUUGCCAAACUGUUCAAACUACUACAACGGCAUAUAAUGUAACUAAUGCAAUCCCAUGCACAAAUUAUAAUUUUACUCUUACUAUAAUUCGUAAGAAUGGUGAAUUUGGAAAUGCUUAUGUCAACGGAUCAACAGAAUUUAUGAAACCUGGAGCACCUUCUUCUGUAUCAACAGAAACUGGAAAGGAUUCAUUAACAGUUAUGUGGACAGCUCCAGUUGGUGCAACUUGUGUGUUUGAAUAUCGAAUAUUAAUCUAUCGACAAACCUCGCCAAAAGAUUUUUUAAUACAAAAUACCACAGAAACUUCAAUCACUUUUUUUGGAUUAAAGACUUGCAGUACAUAUGAAGUUACUAUUAUUCCUGUAGACAAAAAUGGUAAUAACAAUGAACCUGCAAAAAUCACUUCCAAUAGAACGUUGGCACCUGUUCCUGAUAGUCCUUAUUUCAAGUUAGCGAUACCCACUAAUCGUUCUAUAAACAUUACAUGGAAGUUACCAUUAAAUGAAUUCAAUAAUUGCGAGGAUAUUCAAAUAACAACUGAAUGUGUUUCUACAAAAACUUUAGGUCACGGCUAUUCUGGAUUGAACGCAAAUUCUUCAACAAUUAUUUUCAAUGAAAUUACAACGAUUACAGUUGAGAGUCUUUCACCUUAUACAGAAUAUAAUUGUUAUAGUAUUGCUUCUAAUUCGCAAGGAAAUAGUAGCCAAAGUCAACCUAUUCCUGUACAAACUUUAGAAGACGCACCAUCUUCACCAAAAUUAUCAUGUCACAAUUUUACUGACAAUCAAUUUGUUCUUUCUUGGGAGCAACCAGAAUAUUUACCAGGACAUAUAAAAAUGUUUGAAGUCAAUUUGACUUGGUACUAUAAAUUUCAUAUUCCAGUUUGGUGUGGAAACAUUACUCAUUUCAGAAAAAAUAUUACUGGUAUAUCAGGAGAUUCAUCAUCAUUGGUUUAUAAUUAUGCAAGUCCUUAUUCUGUUUACGAGGCUAAUAUUAGAGCCAAGACAGAGGCUGGAUGGGGAAAUUAUAGUGACAAUAAAGUAAUUUUUGAAACGGCACCAGGAGCUUCCGGACCAGUAUCCGAUUUAACUUUCAAUCUAUCCAUGAAUUCUUUUGAUCCUAACAUUCUUGAUGCUUACUUAAUUUGGGGACUUCCUUGUUAUAUUAAUGGACCUGAAAUUGAGUUGUUCAAUAUAACAGGAGUUGGUCAGAGAAAAAAUUUUGAAAACCAUUACAUCAAUGAAACUUUUAGUACACCUUGUUUCAAUGAUACUUGUAGAAAAAAAUUAUCAUUGAAAGACGAAUAUUCAUAUCUAUUUAACGUAUCUGGAAAAGUUAAAGAUUACAAGGAAUUGGGUGAAAUUGUAGAAAUACAAGGCUCAUUUCCAGCAGGCAUUCCACCAUUACCACCAGAUAAUUACACUAAUCAAAUUACCAUUGAUCCAUUCAAAGCACGUAGAACAACAUCUACUGCAACUAUUCUACUUCCACUAUUUCCUAAUACCAAUGGAGAUAUUAAAUGUUAUGCUAUUAUUGUUGCCAAAGCUGGAUAUAAUAAUGAAAGUUUUUCAAGGAUUAAUACUGAUCCUGAAACGUAUUUAGACAACACUGCAUCCUGGUUUGAAUCCAAACAAAAAGAUUUUACGAUACCAUAUCAAGCCAUCAAAUUCUGUGCUAAUACACAUAUUUCGUACGUUGUGGAUUAUGGAAGAUUGAAAGCACUUAAAUUUGUGAUUGGCGAUGAUAUGGAGACAUGUGAAGAAUUAUCAAUGAAAAAAUAUGAAAGAUCUUACUGUAAUGGGCCAUUAAAUCCUGAUGAGUGGUAUGAUGUGAGAAUGAGAGCUUUUACUACUGGUGGAUAUCGAGAUUCUAAAAUAUUUGUUGUUAAGACAAAUGCAGAAAUACAAGUAUCAACCGUCAUUGGAUCAAUUUUAGGUGUACUUUCAUUGGGAAUUUUGAUUACUAUGAUGCUUUUGAUACGAAAAUGUUCAUUACAGAUAGUAUUAAGACGAUUUUUACACUCAGACAUGCCUGGAUCACCAGUUCCAACUCCAUUUAAUAGACGAAAAUUUAUAGCCCACUGUCAACAAUUAGCUGAUAAUCCAGGAAAAUUGAGCAAUGAGUUUCAGUUAUUACAAACAUUGAGUGUUGAUUUACAAAUGCCAGCCAACACUGCGUGUUUACAGGCAAAUCGAAAAAAGAAUCGUUAUACGGAUGUUUUACCAUAUGAUUUUUCAAGAGUUAAGUUAAAUAUCAUUGAUAACGAUCCAAAUACUGAUUACAUAAACGCGUCAUUCAUUAAGGGUUUUAGUGGUAUGGAAGAAUACAUAGCAUGUCAAGGACCAAAAGAGGAAACAACUUAUGAUUUUUGGAGAAUGAUUGAUCAAUAUGAUGUCAAAAUAAUCGUUAUGUUGACUCAAUUGGUCGAGAAAAAUAAAGAAAAAUGUCAUCAGUAUUUUCCUACAAUACGUGAAACUUUUACAUAUGAAAAUUUUUCAAUUCGAUGUUCUUCCGAACUUGAUUAUCGAACUUUUACUCAAAGAACAUUGAUUUUACAAAAAAACGACGAAAAAAGAAAUAUUAUUCAUCUACAUUUCAAAGAUUGGCCGGAUCAUGAUGUUCCUGAGGAUUAUGAUCCGAUGAUAAAUUUCUGUCAAACUGUAAGACGUAAUGCUGCUAUUAAUCGUGGUCUUAUUGUCAUUCACUGCAGUGCAGGGAUUGGUAGAACAGGAACCCUUAUUGCGAUAGAUAUUUUAUUGCAACACAUCAAAGAAAAUAGAAAAUUAGAUGUCUUCGGCACAGUUUAUAGAUUAAGACAUCAUAGAAUAAAUAUGGUACAAAGAGAAACCCAAUACGCUUAUAUUUAUAAUUGCAUAAGACAAGUAUUGAAAAAUCCUUAUUUUUCAAAAAGUUAUAAACCACCAUCAGUGGAUCCUAUAACAGAUAAUAAUUUUAAUAAUAAGAAAAAUGACAACUCGAUGACAAAUCUUGUAAGCAGCCUUGAAACUCAUAACUUAACACGUUAAAAAUUCUUUGUCUACUGCAGAAUGAGAGUCACGAAACGACAUAAAUAAUGAAAUAAAAAUAAACUUACAAGUCAGGUACAACACAAUAAGUUAUCCAAUAAAUAAAAGUAAUUUAUAUUUAGAAGAAAAACAAACGUUAUUAUCGACAACAUUAUCAAAAAACUUGAAUAGCGAUAGUAGAACUAAUAAUUUUUCCAUACUUCAUCAUU
This 4346-nucleotide unclassified non-coding RNA is filed under the name Chelonus insularis. Its description in RNAcentral is "receptor-type tyrosine-protein phosphatase F, transcript variant X1". The record is from RNAcentral. Lineage: Eukaryota; Metazoa; Arthropoda; Insecta; Hymenoptera; Braconidae.